UCUUCUUUCAUCCUGAAACUCUCAAACUUAGUAGUAAGCAGCUGCAAUCUAGACAUCUUCAAUCUAAAGGUACCUUCAUGAGUGGUUUUGAGAAUAUUCUAAGCAUCUUUAGCCACCUCGCAGUUGCUCACCAGUCUGAAGAUGUUCUUAUCAACCCCAUUGAAUAUAAAUCUUACACUUGAACGAUCUUCGCACUACGUCCUAAAAAUAGGCCAAGAUGGGCGUGGUAAACUAUGGUCCUUGGCUUCUAAGGCAUAUAUUAG
This 263-nucleotide long non-coding RNA is filed under the name Lathyrus oleraceus (garden pea). Its description in RNAcentral is "Pisum sativum (pea) long non-coding RNA (PSAT_LNC015308)". Lineage: Eukaryota; Viridiplantae; Streptophyta; Magnoliopsida; Fabales; Fabaceae. The record is from RNAcentral.